Molecule: long non-coding RNA, 706 nt
Filed under: Mytilus galloprovincialis (Mediterranean mussel)
Lineage: Eukaryota; Metazoa; Mollusca; Bivalvia; Mytilida; Mytilidae
Source: RNAcentral
UGCCAGUGUGGGGUUUUACACGCAGUGUAAUCAACUGGUAUCAGGCUUUGGUAUCAGACUUGGAGAUUUGGCAAGAAUCGACUUUAUAUGAUACAGUGGCAGUCCGUGAGGAGUUUACAGAACAUUUUUCGAUUUAGUAGCUAUAAGGUAAUUAUACAGCAACCGAUGAGUAAUAAUUCAGUGAUACUCGAAAAUCACAUCAGUUAUCAUGAAAAAUUUUGUUUAUAUGUUAAAAUUCCAUGAACUAUUUUUACUGUUUGGUUAUUUUUCUACAAAAAAAUUCAAAAUAUACCGUUACACAAUAGAUUUAUGUUCUUGUAUACUUUACAUUAUUGAAACGGUUGAUGGUUCCUUUUACUAUUUCUCAAUGUGUAUUGUUUAUUAGAUUUGAAUAUUAGCCAUAAAAUCUAUUUGCGUAUCAUUCAUUUAAACCAUAUCUAUAAUGUUUUGGAUAAAAUUAAAUACCGUUACAAUAUUGUAUUAUUUAUCAGACUGAAUCCAAAAUGGCAUGCACACUAACGGACAGGCCAAGGUUUGUCUCCUUAUUAUGAAGGAGAGUAGUUACAAAUAUUCUUAUAAAAAGAGGAUAGUGAUAAAUAUACUUAAAUUAAUUGUACGCAUGGAAUAAACAUGGUCGCUUUUAUUUCUAGGGAAAGCGGCUGAUGAGGAAUGUUAAAAACCAAAAUGUAUUCAUUAAAAAAGAGGC